Salvia hispanica is the source of this 174-nucleotide small nucleolar RNA. RefSeq annotates it as small nucleolar RNA snoR143. Lineage: Eukaryota; Viridiplantae; Streptophyta; Magnoliopsida; Lamiales; Lamiaceae. The record is from RefSeq and is a predicted model, not a curated record.
UUGCACUCCGCUUGAAAGGCUUCCAAAAGAAUGACAAAUGGUGCAGUCUUGGAGCAAGUGUGCAAAAAUGAAAUGUUAAAUCGAGCUCGGCGGCGGCCAGACGACCGUUGAGAUGGAUCAACAGAUGAGUGCCGCCGUGUCCACCGCGCUUGUCUACUAAGAGCAUCCACAAUA